Molecule: ribosomal RNA, 367 nt
Filed under: Blastocystis sp.
Lineage: Eukaryota; Bigyra; Opalinata; Blastocystidae
Description: SSU rRNA
Rfam family: Eukaryotic small subunit ribosomal RNA
Source: RNAcentral
UAUCGAUAAACAAUUGGAGGGCAAGUCUGGUGCCAGCAGCCGCGGUAAUUCCAGCUCCAAUAGCGUAUAUUAACGUUGUUGCAGUUAAAAAGCUCGUAGUUGAAAUGAAGGGUGGUUGUGUAAUGAAUACAUUCGUGUAUUUUGUUAUUCUACCACCCUCCUUCUAAAUUCGAUAUAUGAGUAUUAAUUUACUUGUAUAUGGUUUUAGACCUUUACUGUGAGAAAAUUAGAGUGUUCAAAGCAGGCAUUUGCUUGAAUAUAUUAGCAUGGAAUAAUCAUGUAUGAUUUUCAUGAUGUAUUUGAUUGGUUUGGUUCAUGAGAAUAAGAUUAAAAGGGACAGUUGGGGGUAUUCAUAUUCAAUAGUCAG